RNAcentral lists this ribosomal RNA (496 nucleotides) under uncultured bacterium. Its description in RNAcentral is "bacterial SSU rRNA". It matches the Rfam family "Bacterial small subunit ribosomal RNA", at positions 28 to 534 of the family's 1533-position model. The record is from RNAcentral.
GACGAACGCUGGCGGCGUGCCUAAUGCAUGCAAGUCGAGCGGGCUACGAUCUUCGGAUUGUAGCUUAGCGGCGAACGGGUGAGUAACACGUAGGUAAUCUACCCUUCAGAGGAGGACAACCUCAGGAAACUGAGGCUAAACCUUCAUACGUUCACUGGUAGGGAUACUGGUGAAGAAAGAGUUACCUUAAAGGUAGCUGCUGAAGGAUGAGCCUGCGGCCCAUCAGGUAGUUGGUGAGGUAACGGCUCACCAAGCCGAAGACGGGUAACCGGUCUGAGAGGAUGUCCGGUCACACUGGGACUGAGACACGGCCCAGACUCCUACGGGAGGCAGCAGCAGGGAAUCUUGGGCAAUGGGCGAAAGCCUGACCCCAGCGACGCCGCGUGGAGGAAGAAGUCCUUCGGGCGUAAACUCCUGGACUGGGGACGAGGAAGGACGGUACCCCAGAGAAAGGGACGGCUAACACGUGCCAGCAGCCGCGGUAAGAUAGCGUACU